RNAcentral lists this ribosomal RNA (253 nucleotides) under uncultured bacterium. RNAcentral's name for it is "partial 16S ribosomal RNA". It matches the Rfam family "Bacterial small subunit ribosomal RNA", at positions 524 to 776 of the family's 1533-position model. The record is from RNAcentral.
UACAGAGGUCUCAAGCGUUGUUCGGAUUCAUUGGGCGUAAAGGGUGCGUAGGCGGCGCGGUAAGUCGGGUGUGAAAUCUCGGGGCUUAACUCCGAAACUGCAUUCGAUACUGCCGUGCUUGAGGACUGGAGAGGAGACUGGAAUUUACGGUGUAGCGGUGAAAUGCGUAGAUAUCGUAAGGAAGACCAGUGGCGAAGGCACUUUACUGGGCUAUUACUAACACUCAGAGACGAAAGCUAGGGUAGCAAAUGGG